RNAcentral lists this ribosomal RNA (447 nucleotides) under uncultured bacterium. Its description in RNAcentral is "partial 16S ribosomal RNA". It matches the Rfam family "Bacterial small subunit ribosomal RNA", at positions 29 to 523 of the family's 1533-position model. The record is from RNAcentral.
AGCGAACGCUGGCGGCAGGCCUAACACAUGCAAGUCGAACGAUCCUUCGGGAUAGUGGCGGACGGGUGAGUAACACGUGGGAACGUGCCCUUUGGUUCGGAACAACUCAGGGAAACUUGAGCUAAUACCGAAUGUGCCCUUCGGGGGAAAGAUUUAUCGCCAUUGGAGCGGCCCGCGUCUGAUUAGCUAGUUGGUGAGGUAAUGGCUCACCAAGGCGACGAUCAGUAGCUGGUCUGAGAGGAUGAUCAGCCACACUGGGACUGAGACACGGCCCAGACUCCUACGGGAGGCGGCAGUGGGGAAUCUUGCGCAAUGGGCGAAAGCCUGACGCAGCCAUGCCGCGUGAAUGAUGAAGGUCUUAGGAUUGUAAAAUUCUCUCACCGGGGACGAUAAUGACGGUACCCGGAGAAGAAGCUCCGGCUAACUUCGUGCCAGCCGCCGCAGUAA